RNAcentral lists this ribosomal RNA (497 nucleotides) under uncultured bacterium. RNAcentral describes it as "partial 16S ribosomal RNA". It matches the Rfam family "Bacterial small subunit ribosomal RNA", at positions 28 to 507 of the family's 1533-position model. The record is from RNAcentral.
GAUGAACGCUGGCGGCGUGCCUAAUACAUGCAAGUCGAGCGAACGGACGAGAAGCUUGCUUUUCUGAUGUUAGCGGCGAACGGGUGAGUAACACGUGGAUAACCUACCUAUAAGACUGGGAUAACUUCGGGAAACCGGAGCUAAUACCGGAUAAUAUUUUGAACCGCAUGGUUCAAAAGUGAAAGACGGUCUUGCUGUCACUUAUAGAUGGAUCCGCGCUGCAUUAGCUAGUUGGUAAGGUAACGGCUUACCAAGGCAACGAUGCAUAGCCGACCUGAGAGGGUGAUCGGCCACACUGGAACUGAGACACGGUCCAGACUCCUACGGGAGGCAGCAGUAGGGAAUCUUCCGCAAUGGGCGAAAGCCUGACGGAGCAACGCCGCGUGAGUGAUGAAGGUCUUCGGAUCGUAAAACUCUGUUAUUAGGGAAGAACAUAUGUGUAAGUAACUGUGCACAUCUUGACGGUACCUAAUCAGAAAGCCACGGCUAACUACGUG